This is a long non-coding RNA of Drosophila sulfurigaster albostrigata, 1240 nucleotides long. RefSeq lists it as uncharacterized. The transcript is spliced from 2 exons. The record is from RefSeq and is a predicted model, not a curated record. NCBI's taxonomy places the organism in Eukaryota, Metazoa, Arthropoda, Insecta, Diptera, Drosophilidae.
UUGAUUCUUUGUUCGUUUGACUUUUUUACAGUAUUUGCGAGUAUUUAAAAAAUAAAUUAAAAACUAAUAACAUCCACUUUGAAAUGGUUCAGUUUAAUUGUUGCGAGAUAAGAUCGACAUGGGUUCAAAAGCAACAGCAAUCGAAUUGGCUUUCGUCAUGCAAUCAAACAAUUAUAAGAGCACAGAUUUCUAAAACCAAAUUCAUGUUUGGUUUGUUUUUAAUUGAUAAGCAAAUAAAACACACAUAAUCACACUACACAUUUAUUAUAUUUGGAAGAAGUAUAAAUAUGAAAAAGUGUAUUCAUGAAUGAAAUUCAUUUAAUCUAUAAAGUGUAGUCAAUUCACACAAACUACAACAGAAGAUACGCUCGGAAGUUACACAGCAAAACUGGUAAAAAUCUGUAUAACAAAUAAUAAUUAAUUAAAUUUCUAAGAAUGCGAAAUCGAACAACAUUUAUACGAAUAAUUGACUAUCAACUAUGAAUCAUAAGUUCGUUUUUCAAUUUCAAAUAACCUUCCUUAUACAUUAUUACAUUGAGUCUGGUAAACUUUCAUAGAAAAUAAAUAAAUGUGGCAGCUCAAACAUUAUCAAAACUAAAUAAAAAUAAAAAAAUGCAUUACGUGCUCAAAGAAAAAUCUGUCAGUUUGAAAUUUAAUUUUCUAAAAAUCACAAAAAUAAGUUAAGAUUAGAUAAAAAAAAAAAAAACGAAGUUCGACACGUUUCAGCUAAAACCGAUCAAAUAUAAAACUACUUUAAACGAGUACUCGUAAAGAAAAGCAUACAAAGAUGUAUAUUUAUUCAUAUGAGAUAUUCUUGUUCUUUGGCAUGCUCUGCUUAACUGUGCUCUGUUGUGUGAACUAUGGAAAACUCGUAUACCGGGUGGGACUUUAUUAAUGUACAUAGUUUAAAGAUAAAGCAAUCAACAAUCGUGAUGUUGGCACACUUGCAUUGGGAAUUGCGCAAUCCAUCAUGCUUGCUUUCAGCAAUAUGACUAAACUGAUAGGCAAAAAAGAAAACUAAUAAAUAAUUUAGUGGGAUAUUAUCAAGAGACGCAAGACAUUUGAAUACCCUAUGUUAAAUGUACCACAAUUUCCAAUGGAUGAAGUUUUUAGUAACAAUUGUACAAAUAAAACGCCAAAUGUGAGAUUUCUUCUAAAAGACUAACAACAACAACAAAAUAAUUUGAUAAGGAAUUAUUAUUACACAAUUAAACAAAUAAAACGACAAUUGUCAGAACUC